GACGAACGCUGGCGGCGUGCUUAACACAUGCAAGUCGAACGGUAAGGCCCUUCGGGGUACACGAGUGGCGAACGGGUGAGUAACACGUGGGUGAUCUGCCCUGCACUUCGGGAUAAGCCUGGGAAACUGGGUAUAAUACCGGAUAGGACCACUGCCUGCAUGGGCGGUGGUGGAAAGCUUUUGCGGUGUGGGAUGGGCCCGCGGCCUAUCGGGUUGUUGGUGGGGUGAUGGCCUACCAAGGCGACGACGGGUAGCCGGCCUAAGAGGGUGACCGGCAACACUGGGACUGAGAUACGGCCCAGACUCCUACGGGAGGCAGCAGUGGGGAAUAUUGCACAAUGGGCGCAAGCCUGAUGCAGCGACGCCGCGUGAGGGAUGACGGCCUUCGGGUUGUAAACCUCUUUCAGCACCGACGAAGCGCAAGUGACGGUAGGUGCAGAAGAAGGACCGGCCAACUACGUGCCAGCAGCCGCGGUAA
RNAcentral lists this ribosomal RNA (478 nucleotides) under uncultured bacterium. Its description in RNAcentral is "partial 16S ribosomal RNA". It matches the Rfam family "Bacterial small subunit ribosomal RNA", at positions 28 to 523 of the family's 1533-position model. The record is from RNAcentral.